CAGUCGCCGCGGGAAUACGUAGGUGGCAAGCGUUGUCCGGAAUUAUUGGGCGUAAAGGGCUCGCAGGCGGUUUCUUAAGUCUGAUGUGAAAGCCCCCGGCUCAACCGGGGAGGGUCAUUGGAAACUGGGAAACUUGAGUGCAGAAAAGGAGAGUGGAAUUCCACGUGUAGCGGUGAAAUGCGUAGAGAUGUGGAGGAACACCAGUGGCGAAGGCGACUCUCUGGUCUGUAACUGACGCUGAGGAGCGAAAGCGUGGGGAGCGAACAGGAUUAGAUACCCGCGUAGUCCCUGUCUCUUAUAC
RNAcentral lists this ribosomal RNA (301 nucleotides) under uncultured bacterium. Its description in RNAcentral is "partial 16S ribosomal RNA". It matches the Rfam family "Bacterial small subunit ribosomal RNA", at positions 509 to 807 of the family's 1533-position model. The record is from RNAcentral.